AUCCAUUCCCAGGCUCAUUUCUCCACAAAUUUACUGUUCCUUUCUCCACAAAUCACUUCUGAACUGUGGCUUGGAAGUCUCUGGGCCUCAGUCUGCAGAGACACAGAAGCAAAUGAUUGUAUGAAGCUCCUGACUGUAUGAAGUUCUCAGUCAAACAAAAUAGUACCUCUUCUGCCCAUCUCAGAGGUGGAUAAGGAUAAAGUGAAAUAAUGGAAAGCACAAGGAACAGUAAAAGGCAAAUGUCAAGAAGCUGUUUGCAAAGUUACCAAGA
Molecule: long non-coding RNA, 271 nt
Filed under: Homo sapiens (human)
Lineage: Eukaryota; Metazoa; Chordata; Mammalia; Primates; Hominidae
Description: HSALNT0295998
Source: RNAcentral